UACGUAGGGUGCGAGCGUUAAUCGGAAUUACUGGGCGUAAAGCGUGCGCAGGCGGUGACCCAAGUCAGAUGUGAAAUCCCCGGGCUUAACCUGGGAAUGGCAUUUUGAACUGGCAGUCUAGAGUGUGUCAGAGGGGGGUGGAAUUCCACGUGUAGCAGUGAAAUGCGUAGAUAUGUGGAGGAACACCAAUGGCGAAGGCAGCCCCCUGGGAUAACGCUGACGCUCAUGUACGAAAGCGUGGGUAGCAAACAGGAUUAGAUACCCGGGUAGU
This 271-nucleotide ribosomal RNA is filed under the name uncultured bacterium. Its description in RNAcentral is "partial 16S ribosomal RNA". It matches the Rfam family "Bacterial small subunit ribosomal RNA", at positions 524 to 794 of the family's 1533-position model. The record is from RNAcentral.